Molecule: long non-coding RNA, 644 nt
Filed under: Cyanistes caeruleus (blue tit)
Lineage: Eukaryota; Metazoa; Chordata; Aves; Passeriformes; Paridae
Description: lncRNA (ENSCCEG00000015853.1)
Source: RNAcentral
AUUUGUAUUGUCAUAUAACAACAGACAUUUGUUUAAAAUUCUUAUCUUGUCAGGUUCAGUCUACUGCAGUGUGAAACCUCCCUACAAACUAUAGAGGGCAGGUGAGGAUUGUGAAGCUGUGGCUGGGCUUGUACACUCAGUAUCUAAAUACCUGCUCCAAGGCCUUUUCUUAUAUGGACCCAAGCCAGCUGUUUCUUCCAGAUGGUGACUCGUCCUCUCUCCCUCUGUUGAGAGAUGACUUCUAAGUUUUCAAAUGCAUUCAGGAGUUCACAAUCAAAGACACUUAGCCACUGAAGAACUCUGAUGCUGAGGGACCAUUUUUGCAGGAAGCCUAGCCAGGACUCCAGGCUAUGGAAUGCCUGAGUACAGAGCAGAGAGCAAGUUCAACAGGAAAAACUGAAGGAACCUAAUUCUGCCACAGUAGGGGUGAAAACAAAAGUUUUCAUCAGCAUGCUACUGCACACCCACCAAGGCAGUGGGAGAAUAUAAAGGCUCUACAAGAAGCACAGACUUGGAGCACAUCUCCCUUACCUUCCCUCACUCUGCCUAGGAGGCUGAGGACAGCAGGAAAACUCCAGACCCCUGCCCAUGGAGGAUGAUCACCAUGCUUUUCACUGAACAAAACAAAUAAAAAUAUUCCAAAU